GGACAGUUAGCUCAGUCAGUUGAGCGUGGUGCUAACAACGCCAAGGUCGCAGGUUUGAUUCCCGUUCAGUUCC
Apaloderma vittatum (bar-tailed trogon) is the source of this 73-nucleotide non-coding RNA. NCBI's taxonomy places the organism in Eukaryota, Metazoa, Chordata, Aves, Trogoniformes, Trogonidae. The record is from Rfam.